UACGUAGGGUGCAAGCGUUAAUCGGAAUUACUGGGCGUAAAGCGUGCGCAGGCGGUUUUGUAAGUCUGAUGUGAAAUCCCCGGGCUCAACCUGGGAAUGGCGAUGAAGACUGCAAGGCUUGAAUCUGGCAGAGGGGGGUAGAAUUCCACGUGUAGCAAUGAAAUGCGUAGAGAUGUGGAGGAACACCGAUGGCGAAGGCAGCCCCCUGGGUCAAGAUUGACGCUCAUGCACGAAAGCGUGGGGAGCAAACAGG
RNAcentral lists this ribosomal RNA (253 nucleotides) under uncultured bacterium. RNAcentral describes it as "partial 16S ribosomal RNA". It matches the Rfam family "Bacterial small subunit ribosomal RNA", at positions 524 to 776 of the family's 1533-position model. The record is from RNAcentral.